CUACGGGAGGCAGCAGUGAGGAAUAUUGGGCAAUGGGGGAAACCCUGAUCCAGCCAUGCCGCGUGGAUGAUGAAGGCCCUAGGGUUGUAAAGUCCUUUUAACGGGGAAGAUAAUGACGGUACCCGUAGAAUAAGCCCCGGCUAACUUCGUGCCAGCAGCCGCGGUAAUACGAAGGGGGCUAGCGUUGCUCGGAAUUACUGGGCGUAAAGCGCACGUAGGCGGACCGAUAAGUCGGGGGUGAAAUCCUGGAGCUCAACUCCAGAACUGCCUUCGAAACUGCCGGUCUUGAGUUCGGGAGAGGUGAGUGGAACUGCGAGUGUAGAGGUGAAAUUCGUAGAUAUUCGCAAGAACACCAGUGGCGAAGGCGGCUCACUGGCCCGAUACUGACGCUGAGGCGCGAAAGCGUGGGGAGCAAACAGGAUUAGAAACCCGAGUAGUCC
RNAcentral lists this ribosomal RNA (440 nucleotides) under uncultured bacterium. RNAcentral describes it as "bacterial SSU rRNA". It matches the Rfam family "Bacterial small subunit ribosomal RNA", at positions 339 to 796 of the family's 1533-position model. The record is from RNAcentral.